Molecule: non-coding RNA, 2476 nt
Organism: Lactuca sativa (garden lettuce)
Lineage: Eukaryota; Viridiplantae; Streptophyta; Magnoliopsida; Asterales; Asteraceae
Source: RefSeq, a predicted model, not a curated record
UCCCGCCGUUCAAAAAAAAAGUGAAAGGAACAGAGCCUCGUCUUUUCAUCUCACCGCCAAACUGCCACUCGAUCCUUCCUCCUCCCUACGACCGUCGCACCACCAUCUCUUCUCCUCUAGACUAUCACUAAACCGUCAUCUCUCCUCAUCCCGACGACCACUGGAGCACCGCCUCCUCCCUCUUUUUAACCAAACAGAAAGGAUUUCAUUUUUUUUUGGAUAUCAGUUCGGGAAUUUGGGAUGUAUGAUCGAUUAUUGGAAUUCGCUCGAAUUUGUGAGGCAAAAAGGAUAUAUGUACCGCAUAUCAUAUCAGAUGUAUGGCAGAUCGGAUCGGAGAUAGGGUUGUUGUUUCAUUGUCACUCGAUCUUUGUUUUUAUUCGGAUCAGACGACAAAAGGAGGAAAAUCAAGCCAUGCUACGGGGAAAGUUGAUACAAAAAUUUUAGGUUGGAUGUAAAGAAAACUGCAGCCAAGGGGAAGCUGCUAAGGAUCCCAAUAAACCUAAGGGACCUGCUAGCACUUUCUUUGUAUUCAUGGAGGACUUUAGAAAGCAGUUCAAAGAAGAUAACUCUGAACACAACUCUGUUGUUGCUGUUGGUAAGCUGGUGUAGCAAAAUGGAAGUCAAUGGCAGGUCCUGACACAACACCUUUUAUAGCUAAAGCUGACAAAAGGAAGAAGAAAUAUGAUAAGAGCUUGGAAUUCUACAACAAAAAACUUGUGAAAUCUUUGUCAGAAGUCUUCUUUUAAUCAUUAAUAUAUCGUAGUUUUGUUUGAUUAACUUUGAGUUUGCUGCAUGAACAUAGGUUGCUGGUGAUAAUGAUGAUGAUGAUUCAGACAAAUCUAGUACCAUAUAGUCCCUUCCCCAACAUUAACAACAGAUUGUACUAUGUUCUGAUUUGAAGUUUUAUGUAAGGGAUAAAAGGUUCACCAUAAUAAGAGGGAAUCCUGAAACUUGGACAAUAUCGAGAUAUGAUAAAAUAAAGAGCGUGACCUUGCAAGUAGAUGAAACAGACAUCAUUAUACCAUUUUACCAUUUUAGGGCAUUCUUUUCCCUCUCAAAUGUACUUAGUAAAUUUCAACCAAUAAUGGUUGUCACAAGGCUCCUAUGAAUCUUUUUGAAGUUCAUUGGGAAGGAACCAAUGCCUAAAAGGAUUUGAGGCUUGAUGUGUUUAGAGAACUGGUCUUGGAUUUGCUGUUGAUGGGAGUUUUGUGCAUGUUGAAUAAGUUCUAGCAAUUUGCCUUUGUUGGCUUCUUUAGUGCUACCUUUCAAUUUAUAUUUUGGCUUCCUCAUUAAUGCAAAUGGAUGCCUCACUAACAAUAUGAUGGGGCUGGAGGUGAAGAAGAUGUUGUCACUGAAAUCAUUACGAUUCUUACACCAAGGGGUCAGUCGAUACAAUGUUGAACUUUACCUUUCCUUUUUAAGGCUUGAAGGGCAAGCCACUGAUUUCAAAAUUCAAUACAACAGCCUAGUCGAUGUUUUUGUCUUGCCUAAGUUUAACCAACCUCACACGUUUGUGGUUGUCACUCUGGACCCUCCUAUCUGUAAAGGUCAAACAAUGUACCCAUAUAUUGUAAUGCAGUUUGAAACUGAUUAUAUGGUCGAGAGCUCUUUGAUGAUGAAUGAAGACUUGUAUUCUACAAAAUACAAAGACAUAUUAGAAUCAUCAUAUAAGGAACUUAUUCAUGAAGUGUUCACAAUGAUCUUGCGUGCAUUAUCUGGUAGAAAGUAUAAUGCCCUAAUAAGAAAAAAAAUCCAAGUAUAGUUCUAUAUUUAGGUAGAUCUUUGAAAGAUAUUAUAUAGUAACAUGCCUUAAUAAGAUAAAAAGUUAAAAGCACAAUGUUGCAAUGAAAAGAAAUGAAAGUAUGUUGCUAUUUUUAGCAUUUAGCCCUCAGAAAUAUACUGCAAUUUUAACUAUUUUUUGGUGGAAGAAAAUUUUCCUAGAAAGAAAAACUUGAAGCAUCUAAAGAGAUGAUGGGGAUGAAGCAGAAAGUGGAGCAUGUGGCACAUCUCUCUCUCUCUCUCAUUAUUAUUAUUUUAGUAAGACUGGAAUGCAAAGCCAGAAUGGGCAUGAAUGGUGGAAAGGAAGGAAUGGAAUGCAAAGCCAGAAUAGGCAUGAAUGGUAGAAUGGGUAGGCAUGUAUGGUGGAAAGGAAGGAAUGGGGAUGUGAGACAUCAAGUACGGUUGUUUAUUGGUGUAUUAGUUUAUUGGUGUAUUAGAUGUGCAUAUGUGGCGUAUUAGAUGAUAUGUUACACAUCAAGUACGGUUGUGUAUUGGUGUAUUGGUGUAUUAGAUGUGUAUAUAUGGCGUAUUGGAUGAUUGUAUGUGAUGGUCCUAGAAAGUAGAUAGGAUACAUAUAGAGUACGGUUUAAUAGCCGUACUCUAUUAGGCAUGUAAUCUAAUACACCCCUCUACUAAUACGCCCUCUAUGUACGUACUAUAUUCAUAAUUUCAACCGUAUUACAUUAACCUUUUUCUA